This 274-nucleotide long non-coding RNA is filed under the name Gossypium barbadense (sea-island cotton). RNAcentral describes it as "long non-coding RNA (GBAR_LNC002624)". Lineage: Eukaryota; Viridiplantae; Streptophyta; Magnoliopsida; Malvales; Malvaceae. The record is from RNAcentral.
CGCAGCACUGAUCUACCUAAGUCUGGGGAUUACCUGUACAGAUAAACAGAUGGGUGAGUUAUGAAACUCAGUGUGUAAUCCCAUAUCAAAUAACCAUACAAUGAGCAUAUACAGUAUGGGCUUAAGCCCAUUUCAGUAAAGGUUCAGUCUCAGUUAGGGCCUUAGCUCAUUACAGUAUUAGUAUCAAUUUGGGUCAGAGCCCAUCUCAGUGACAGUACAGUCCAUAUAUGCAAACAAGAGAUCUUACCCAACCAGCCUCUACACUCCAUCUCCG